Molecule: ribosomal RNA, 778 nt
Filed under: uncultured archaeon
Lineage: Archaea
Description: bacterial SSU rRNA
Rfam family: Archaeal small subunit ribosomal RNA
Source: RNAcentral
GCAAACUGCUCAGUAACACGUGGCCAAACUGCCCUAUGGACUGGGAUCCUCGGGAAACUGAGGCUAAUCCCGGAUAGCGCAUCCAGCCUGGAACUGGCGGAUGCGUGAAACGUUCCGGCGCCAUAGGAUGUGGCUGCGGCCGAUUAGGUAGACGGUGGGGUAACGGCCCACCGUGCCGAUAAUCGGUACGGGUCAUGAGAGUGAGAGCCCGGAGACGGACUCUGAGACACGAGUCCGGGCCCUACGGGGCGCAGCAGGCGCGAAACCUUUACACUGCACGACAGUGCGAUAGGGGGACACCGAGUGCGAGGGCAUAGAGCCCUCGCUUUUGUAGACCGUAAGGAGGUCUACGAAUAAGGGCUGGGCAAGACCGGUGCCAGCCGCCGCGGUAACACCGGCAGCCCGAGUGAUGGCCGAUAUUAUUGGGCCUAAAGCGUCCGUAGCUGGCCGCGCAAGUUCGUCGGGAAAUCCACUCGCUUAACGAGUGGGCGUCCGGCGAAAACUGUGCGGCUUGGGACCGGAAGAUCCAAGGGGUACGUCCGGGGUAGGAGUGAAAUCCCGUAAUCCUGGACGGACCACCGAUGGCGAAAGCACCUUGGAAGGACGGAUCCGACAGUGAGGGACGAAAGCUAGGGUCUCGAACCGGAUUAGAUACCCGGGUAGUCCUAGCUGUAAACGAUGCUCGCUAGGUGUGGCGCAGGCUACGAGCCUGCGCUGUGCCGUAGGGAAGCCGUGAAGCGAGCCGCCUGGGAAGUACGUCUGCAAGGAUGAAACUUAA